This is a non-coding RNA of Apodospora peruviana, 111 nucleotides long. NCBI's taxonomy places the organism in Eukaryota, Fungi, Ascomycota, Sordariomycetes, Sordariales, Lasiosphaeriaceae. The record is from the annotation of a GenBank genome assembly.
GGUUCGAUGGUGUAGUUGGCAGCACAUGGACUACGCAAGUCUGUGACGGUCUUAAAAAGCCGGAUAUAGUAGCAAGUGCCCCCGGCGCGGGUUCGAGUCCCGCCCGUGUCA